RNAcentral lists this ribosomal RNA (357 nucleotides) under Triticum aestivum (bread wheat). RNAcentral's name for it is "partial small subunit ribosomal RNA". Lineage: Eukaryota; Viridiplantae; Streptophyta; Magnoliopsida; Poales; Poaceae. The record is from RNAcentral.
AUGCGCCCCUUCUCCUCCCUGGCUCUUCCUCGCCUGCGCGCACCUCACGGCGGCGAGAACGAUGCCCCUUCGUGCGACCCCUUCUUCUGCUUCUUCUUCCAGCACAAGGCCCCUUCCUCGCGUGCCAGCCAUCGACGUGGCCUGCUGCCGGCCUCGGCAAGGCCAGCGCUGCCAGCUCCUCCUCCACCUCACCUCUCCGCAACCCCCGCUGCUGCUUGUUGCUUGCUCGUCUCACACCGCUCCUCCAUGCCCCAUCGGCAUCCUCUGCAGCGCACCUCCCGACGCCGCCCCACAUCCAUUGCCCUUGAUGUUGCUGCUUCUAGACCACCAUGGCCACCUUCCCAUGUUUCUUCUUAG